UGAUGACUUCAGAGGGUAGGAGUGGUCCAGUUCCCCUGUAGGAAUAUUGAGGAGAUGGACUCCUUUUGCCCCAGUGUGUCCUGUGUCUACCUUGUUCUUACAGCUCAGGAGCGAAGAUCUGAUUGCUGAAUUUGCCCAAGUCACAAAUUGGUCCAGCUGCUGCUUGCGUGUCUUUGCAUGGCACCCCCACACCAACAAGUUUGCAGUGGCCCUGCUAGAUGACUCAGUCCGUGUGUAUAAUGCCAGCAGCACCAUAGUCCCCUCCCUGAAGCACCGGCUGCAGCGAAAUGUGGCGGCUCUGGCCUGGAAGCCCCUUAGUGCCUCUGUCUUGGCUGUGGCCUGCCAGAGCUGCAUUCUUAUCUGGACCCUGGACCCUACCUCCUUGUCUACCCGACCCUCUUCUGGCUGUGCCCAAGUGCUGUCUCAUCCUGGGCAUACACCUGUUACCAGCUUGGCCUGGGCCCCCAGUGGGGGGCGACUACUCUCAGCUUCACCCGUGGAUGCUGCUAUCCGGGUAUGGGAUGUCUCAACAGAGACCUGUGUCCCCCUUCCCUGGUUUCGAGGAGGUGGGGUGACCAACCUGCUCUGGUCCCCAGAUGGCAGCAAAAUCCUGGCUACCACUCCUUCAGCUGUCUUUCGAGUCUGGGAGGCCCAGAUGUGGACUUGUGAGAGGUGGCCUACUCUAUCAGGGCGCUGUCAGACUGGCUGCUGGAGCCCAGAUGGCAGCCGACUGCUGUUCACUGUAUUGGGAGAGCCACUGAUUUACUCC
This 769-nucleotide small RNA is filed under the name Pongo abelii (Sumatran orangutan). RNAcentral describes it as "retained intron". The record is from RNAcentral. Lineage: Eukaryota; Metazoa; Chordata; Mammalia; Primates; Hominidae.